GGCCCGUUCGUCCAGCGGUCUAGGACGCGGCCCUCUCAAGGCCGAAACAGGGGUUCGAGUCCCCUACGGGUCACCA
Molecule: transfer RNA, 76 nt
Filed under: Planctomycetota bacterium
Lineage: Bacteria; Pseudomonadati; Planctomycetota
Also listed under: 1 other name
Description: tRNA-Glu
Rfam family: tRNA
About the family: Transfer RNA (tRNA) molecules are approximately 80 nucleotides in length. Their secondary structure includes four short double-helical elements and three loops (D, anti-codon, and T loops). Further hydrogen bonds mediate the characteristic L-shaped molecular structure. tRNAs have two regions of fundamental functional importance: the anti-codon, which is responsible for specific mRNA codon recognition, and the 3' end, to which the tRNAs corresponding amino acid is attached (by aminoacyl-tRNA synthetases). tRNAs cope with the degeneracy of the genetic code in two manners: having more than one tRNA (with a specific anti-codon) for a particular amino acid; and 'wobble' base-pairing, i.e. permitting non-standard base-pairing at the 3rd anti-codon position.
Source: RNAcentral